AAUGGCCGCGGUACUUUGACCGUGCUAAGGUAGCGCAAUCAAUUGGCUCUUAAUUGGGGUCAGGAAUGAAUGGAGUUUACGUGGUCCAGCUGUCUUUUAACUAAUAUAUUGAAGUUACUAUAUAAGUGAAAAAGCUUAUUGUUUGAAAAAAGACGAGAAGACCCUUAGAGUUUUUCUUAGUGUGAACAAUCAUAUUCUAGUUCAUAAUGGUUUUGUUGGGGCAACAUAGGAGCAACAGGAAAAUAUAAAUCUCCUUAAUUAAACUUACCGAAGUAUUAAAAUUGGAUAAACUACCUUAGGGAUAACAGCAUAAUUUAAAAAAUAAGUUUGUGACCUCGAUGUUGGACUAGGAAACUUAAAGGCUAGCCGUCUUUAAGGGAAGUUCUGUUCGAACUAUUAUUCCUACAUGAUCU
This 413-nucleotide ribosomal RNA is filed under the name Goniobranchus coi. RNAcentral's name for it is "partial 16S ribosomal RNA". It matches the Rfam family "Bacterial large subunit ribosomal RNA", at positions 1926 to 2606 of the family's 2925-position model. The record is from RNAcentral. Lineage: Eukaryota; Metazoa; Mollusca; Gastropoda; Nudibranchia; Chromodorididae.